CCGGGCUGCGCUCGCGUCCGCUCAGCCGGCCGCCCCGGUGCCCCGCGUGCGUCGCUCUUCUGUCCGGUGUCCGACGCUGCCCUUGGUGUUUCCCUUCCGCACAAGCAGCAGGUAACAGUCAACGCGGAGACCGCGGGCCCGAGCUGGCCGAUCGCCCGCCAAACAUCACGUCCAGAGACGGGGCCUCUUCCAGCAGCUGCGUCUGGCCAGGCACAAACUGAAAGCCGAGCCCAGGUCUGCGUUCGGGUCACCCUUGGCUUUGACAGAAAACGCGUGUCAUAUUUCGCUCAUGGCCUCACGCCUGAAAGCGAUGUCAGCUUCUGAGAAAAUACAGCCCCUGUGCAAGGGAACGUUACGAUCCCUCGCGAAAUAAAGCCUUUUCCUUCUGUUGAA
Molecule: long non-coding RNA, 393 nt
Organism: Neofelis nebulosa (Clouded leopard)
Lineage: Eukaryota; Metazoa; Chordata; Mammalia; Carnivora; Felidae
Exons: 2
Source: RefSeq, a predicted model, not a curated record